RNAcentral lists this long non-coding RNA (975 nucleotides) under Homo sapiens (human). RNAcentral describes it as "HSALNT0273895". The record is from RNAcentral. Lineage: Eukaryota; Metazoa; Chordata; Mammalia; Primates; Hominidae.
GACAUUUCUAUGUCCUGCCCUUCCUUCAGUUUCUGCUCAAAUGCCCCCUUAGAGAUGGCUGUCCUGUGGCCACCCCAAAGACCACAAACCACAGAGCAUGUCUCAGCAUAGGGGUUGGACAGACACCUCUCUGAACCAGGAUACCUGCUCCUCAGUCUUCCUGCCUGGAAUUGAUGCCUCCCGUUCUGCCACCGGGGAGGAAUCUGCCCUCUCUCCUCCUUCCCUCUGGAGACAAGUGGGAAAGGGUGGAGGAAGCAGCUCGAACGGAAACCUUCAUCUCCGCUUUAGUCUCCAGUGCCAUACCCAGUUGUCUUUCUUCAUUACACCUCCAUGUGCUAAUUGCCUGUCUCCUCCAGUGAAAGAUCUGCUCACAGCAGUGAGGACCUGUAGGGCUCCAUCACUGCUGUAUCACCAGCCCCCAGAAUAGUGCCUGGCACCCUGUGCACACUGAUAGAGAAUUUAAAAAUUAUCGUGCUUUCUCACCAUCUGUAUUCGUCCAUUUUCACGCUGCUGAUAAAGACAUACCCAAGACUGGGCAAUUUACAAAAGAAAGAGGUUUAUUGGACUUACGGUUUUACGUGGCUGGGGAGGCCUCACAAUCAUGGUGGAAGGCGAAAGGCACGUCUCAUAUGGCGGCAGACAAGGCAAGCUGCCCACAGCAUGGGGAAGAGCGGCCGGUGCUCGCGUGAGGACGUCUCCAGCUCAUCUGCUCCUGUAUCUGAGAGCUGAUGGCUGCUUUUGCAUCUGCUUACUGGAACAUUUUGCUUCCUUUAUAAUCAGCAACACAGAAUAUGGAAUUGGCAUCAUUCUUGGGCUACAUGGACUGAUUUCUAGUUCCUGCCAAAAAUAUGUUUGAAACAUCACUGAACAGACAUUGUCUAAAAGUCUUGCUAUCCAUUUUUAUUUUCCCAGUUUCAUGUUGCUUCAAGUUAAAAAUCAUGAGAAAGCAGCAAACUGAUUAUUUUAGCUCCCCAA